Molecule: ribosomal RNA, 605 nt
Filed under: uncultured bacterium
Lineage: Bacteria
Description: bacterial SSU rRNA
Rfam family: Bacterial small subunit ribosomal RNA
Source: RNAcentral
GCAAGUCGAACGGUAAGGCCCCUUCGGGGGUACACGAGUGGCGCGCGGGUGAGUAACGCGUGGGUAAUCUACCGUCGGGUCUGGGACAACUCCGGGAAACUGGAGCUAAUACCGGAUAAGACCACGAGGUCUUCGGACUUCGCGGAAAAAGGUGGCCUCUUCUUGAAAGCUACCGCCUGUUGAUGAGCCCGCGUCCCAUUAGCUUGUUGGUGAGGUAACGGCUCACCAAGGCGACGAUGGGUAGCUGGUCUGAGAGGAUGAUCAGCCACACUGGAACUGAGACACGGUCCAGACUCCUACGGGAGGCAGCAGUCGGGAAUCUUGUGCAAUGGGGGAAACCCUGACACAGCAACGCCGCGUGAGGGAUGAAGGCCCUAGGGUCGUAAACCUCUGUCGGGAGGGAAGAAUUCUCCGGGGGUGAAUAAUCCUCGGAGUUGACGGUACCUCCAAAGGAAGCGCCGGCUAACUCCGUGCCAGCAGCCGCGGUAAUACGGAGGGCGCAAGCGUUGUUCGGAAUCAUUGGGCGUAAAGCGCGUGUAGGCGGCUUGGUAAGUCGGGCGUGAAAGCCCGGGGCUCAACCCCGGAAUGGCGCUCGAAACUGCCUG